UUGUUGGUAAGGUAAAAGCUUACCAAGGCUUCGAUCAGUAGCUGGUCUGAGAGGACGACCAGCCACACUGGGACUGAGACACGGCCCAGACUCCUACGGGAGGCAGCAGUGGGGAAUUUUGGACAAUGGGGGCAACCCUGAUCCAGCCAUGCCGCGUGAGUGAAGAAGGCCUUCGGGUUGUAAAGCUCUUUCAGCCGGAACGAAACGGUUACGGUUAAUACCCGUGACUACUGACGGUACCGGAAGAAGAAGCACCGGCUAACUACGUGCCAGCAGCCGCGGUAAUACGUAGGGUGCGAGCGUUAAUCGGAAUUACUGGGCGUAAAGCGUGCGCAGGUGGUUUUGUAAGUCAGAUGUGAAAGCCCCGGGCUCAACCUGGGAACUGCGUUUGAAACUACAAGACUAGAGUGUGGCAGAGGGGGGUGGAAUUCCGCGUGUAGCAGUGAAAUGCGUAGAGAUGUGGAGGAACACCGAUGGCGAAGGCAGCCCCCUGGGUCAACACUGACGCUCAGGCACGAAAGCAUGGGGAGCAAACAGGAUUAGAUACCCUGGUAGUCCAUGCCCUAAACGAUGUCAACUAGUUGUCGGGCCUUUACGGGCUUGGUAACGUAGCUAACGCGUGAAGUUGACCGCCUGAGGAGUACGAUCGCAAGAUUAAAACUCAAAUGAAUUGACGGGGACCCGCACAAGCGGUGGAUUAUGUGGAUUAAUUCGAUGCAACGCGAAAAACCUUACCUACCCUUGACAUGUAUCGAAGCCCGCAGAAAAGCGGGGGUGCCCGAAAAAAAACGAUAACACAGGUGCUGCAUGGCUGUCGUCAGCUCGUGUCGUGAGAUGUUGGGUUAAGUCCCGCAACGAGCGCAACCCUUGUCAUUAAUUGCCAUCAUUUAGUUGGGCACUUUAAUGAGACUGCCGG
Molecule: ribosomal RNA, 916 nt
Filed under: uncultured bacterium
Lineage: Bacteria
Description: bacterial SSU rRNA
Rfam family: Bacterial small subunit ribosomal RNA
Source: RNAcentral